UACGUAGGUGGCAAGCGUUGUCCGGAUUUAUUGGGCUUAAAGGGUGCGUAGGCGGCCCGGUAAGUCAGUGGUGAAAGCCUCCAGCUCAACUGGAGAACUGCCAUUGAUACUGCCGGGCUUGAGUACAGACGAGGUUGGCGGAAUUGAUUGUGUAGCGGUGAAAUGCAUAGAUACAAUCAAGAACUCCGAUUGCGUAGGCAGCUAACUAGGCUGUAACUGACGCUGAGGCACGAAAGCGUGGGGAGCGAACAGG
RNAcentral lists this ribosomal RNA (253 nucleotides) under uncultured bacterium. Its description in RNAcentral is "partial 16S ribosomal RNA". It matches the Rfam family "Bacterial small subunit ribosomal RNA", at positions 524 to 776 of the family's 1533-position model. The record is from RNAcentral.